AAGUAGCAAGGUUAAGCACUUAAGGUGUGGAGCCGUAGCGAAAGCGAGUCUUAAAUGGGCGAUUAAGUUACUUGGCGUAGACCCGAAACCGGGCGACCUAUCCAUGAGCAGGUUGAAGCGAAAGUAAAAUUUCGUGGAGGACCGAACCCACGAGCGUUGAAAAGCUCGGGGAUGACUUGUGGAUAGCGGUGAAAUUCCAAUCGAGCCCGGAGAUAGCUGGUUCUCCCCGAAAUAGCUUUAGGGCUAGCCUCAAGUGAUGAUUAUUGGAGGUAGAGCACUGUUUGGACGAGGGGCCCAUCCCGGGUUACCGAAUUCAGACAAACUCCGAAUGCCAUAGAUGUGAUGUAUGGGAGUCAGACAGUGGGUGAUAAGGUCCAUUGUCGAGAGGGAAACAACCCAGACCACCAGCUAAGGUCCCAAAAUAUAUGUUAAGUGGAAAAGGAUGUGGCGUUGCCCAGACAACCAGGAUGUUGGCUUAGAAGCAGCCAUCAUUUAAAGAGUGCGUAAUAGCUCACUAGUCGAGUGACCCUGCGCCGAAAAUGUACCGGGGCUAAAACAAUUUACCGAAGCUGU
RNAcentral lists this ribosomal RNA (573 nucleotides) under Ditylum brightwellii. RNAcentral describes it as "partial Bacterial large subunit ribosomal RNA". It matches the Rfam family "Bacterial large subunit ribosomal RNA", at positions 635 to 1203 of the family's 2925-position model. Lineage: Eukaryota; Bacillariophyta; Thalassiosirophyceae; Lithodesmiales; Lithodesmiaceae. The record is from RNAcentral.